GGUGCUGAUGGCAUUGGGGGUACACCCGUUCCCAUUCCGAACACGGCAGUUAAGCCCAAUUGCGCUGAAGAUACUUGGUCGGUGACGACCUGGAAAAAUAAGAAGGUGC
Molecule: ribosomal RNA, 109 nt
Filed under: human gut metagenome
Source: RNAcentral